GAGUAAAGAUUUCGGUCGCUUUGGGAGGAGCUCGCUUACUAUCAGCUUGUUGGUAGGGUAAUGGCCUACCAAGGCUAUGACGGUUAGGGGGUGUGAGAGCAUGACCCCCAGCAUUGGCACUGAAACACUGGCCAAACACCUACGGGUGGCUGCAGUCGAGAAUCUUCCACAAUGGGGGAAACCCUGAUGGAGCGGUGCUGCGUGCGGGAUGAAGGCCUUCGGGUUGUAAACCGCUUUUGUAGGGGACGAAAUUUUUGACGGUACCCUUUCGAAUAAGAGGUUGCUAACUCUGUGCCAGCAGCAGCGGUAAUACAGAGACCUCAAGCGUUAUCCGGAUUUACUGGGCGUAAAGCGUCUGUAGGGGGUUUAUUAAGUUCCAAGUAAAAUUUCAAGGCUCAACUUUGAAUUCGCUUGGAAAACUAAUAAACUGGAGUCUAGCAGAGGUGCAUGGAACUUGUGGUGUAGAAGUGAAAUCCGUUAAUAUCACAAGGAACACCAAAGGCGAAGGCAUUGCACUGGGCUAGCACUGACCCUGAGAGACGAAAGCGUGGGGAGCAAAACGGAUUAGAUACCCGUGUAGUCCACGCCCUAAACGAUGAAUGCUAAAUGUUCGGGGAUUCGACCCCCUGGGUGUUACAGCUAACGCGUUAAGCAUUCCGCCUGGGAAGUACGGCCGCAAGGCUAAAACUCAAAGGAAUAGACGGGGAUCCGCACAAGCGGUGGAGCGUCUGGUUUAAUUCGACAGUAAGCGUGGUACCUCACCAGGGUUUGACAUCCCUUGACAGCCUUGGAAACAAGGUUUCCUUCGGGCAAGGUGACAGGUGCUGCAUGGUCGUCGUCAGUUCGUGCCGUGAGGUGUUCCGUUAAGUCGGGAAACGAACGAAACCCCUAUUGCAUGUUACAAUUUCUCAUGCAAGACUGCCCGGAUAUACUGGGAGGAAGGUGGGGAUGACGUCAGAUCUGCAUGGUCCUUAUACCCUGGGCGACACAGGCGCUACAAUGGCAGAGACAAAGGGUUGCAAAACCGCAAGGUGAAGCUAAUCCCAAAAACUUUGUCUAAGUUCGGAUUGAAGGCUGCAAUUCGCCUUCAUGAAGCUGGAAUCGCUAGUAAUCGUGAAUCAGCCACGUCACGGUGAAUAUGUUCCCGGAUCUUGUACUCACCGCCCGUCGCACCAAGAGAGUUGGUAGCUCCCGA
Molecule: ribosomal RNA, 1195 nt
Filed under: uncultured organism
Description: bacterial SSU rRNA
Rfam family: Bacterial small subunit ribosomal RNA
Source: RNAcentral